This 253-nucleotide ribosomal RNA is filed under the name uncultured bacterium. RNAcentral's name for it is "partial 16S ribosomal RNA". It matches the Rfam family "Bacterial small subunit ribosomal RNA", at positions 524 to 776 of the family's 1533-position model. The record is from RNAcentral.
UACGUAGGUCGCAAGCGUUGUCCGGAUUUACUGGGCGUAAAGAGCGCGCAGGCGGCUGGUCAAGUCCGAUGUGAAAUCCCCCGGCUCAACUGGGGAACUGCACAGGAAACUGCUUGGCUUGAGUUCGGGAGAGGGAAGCGGAAUUCCGGGUGUAGCGGUGAAAUGCGUAGAUAUCCGGAGGAACACCGGUGGCGAAGGCGGCUUCCUGGACCGACACUGACGCUGAGGCGCGAAAGCUAGGGGAGCAAACGGG